ACCUGGGCGGGUCACCAAACUGCAUAGAGGCAACUUUGCGCGUUGUGCUGUACCUUUAACGCUAAAUAGUUCACUCUUCCAUCUUGUGUCAUGGCAGUUAUUAGCAGAAAUAUGUAAUUAUUCUGCAGUCCGAAGAUAAAGCUCUUCCACGUCGAAGACAUCCAACACAAUUGUACAAACACAUAUUCAGGUUGCCCCGCCCUCGCGCCAGUAGACACAUCAUCAGAGAAGAGAAUAGAGGUGUUGCUGUAAGAGGCAGGGGAAGUUAUUCUGAUUGAAGGUUAUGAAGACUAACACAGUGCCUGUGUGCACCCAGAGGGAAGAGAGCAGCAUGGUGAGACCUAGAGGCGCAGAGGAAGGGAGGAUGGCAGGAUGAAGAGAACACAGGAAUGUGAGACAGCGUGGCUCAGGGGGUGAAAGAGAUUUGUCUCAAUGCACCACAGAGUGGGGCGGGGCGGGGCUGGAGAAGGGAGGCAGAAGACGCCAUAUGGCCCCUGCCUGGGCUGGGUUUGGGGUGACAGGAAGGAGGGAGCAUGAGAGGACGAGGCAGCAGGCAGGGGAGACGAUGAGACGGAACGCUUCCUUCUACAGUGCAGGGCAGAUAGACUGGGGCCGAAGGCCAGACAGGGGCCACUGACUGACACCAGAUCUGAUUGCAUCCAACACAGAGAUGCCAAACAGUGACAGGUGCCAGCACUGUUAGAGCAGAGUGGAAAGAGAGGGAGGGAAGACCAGACAACGAGACAAAUGAUGUUAAAGACGAGAGAAAACGAGGAUGUGGAACUUGUUUGCUUAGUCAGAACGCCGGCUCAGAACAGCGACUCAUUUUUAGCCGGCAAAUAAUGAGUCGCUGUUCUGAUGUAGAACUUGGAAGCGCUGAACGUAAACAGCAUAGGAGAAUGACUUAGAAGAAAAGUGAAGAAAUCGUUAGAUAAAGUUAUUUUUGUUUUGUUUUUGCGCACAAA
Megalobrama amblycephala (Wuchang bream) is the source of this 965-nucleotide long non-coding RNA. RefSeq lists it as uncharacterized. The record is from RefSeq and is a predicted model, not a curated record. The transcript is spliced from 3 exons. Lineage: Eukaryota; Metazoa; Chordata; Actinopteri; Cypriniformes; Xenocyprididae.